Molecule: ribosomal RNA, 1316 nt
Filed under: Microbacterium sp.
Lineage: Bacteria; Bacillati; Actinomycetota; Actinomycetes; Micrococcales; Microbacteriaceae
Description: bacterial SSU rRNA
Rfam family: Bacterial small subunit ribosomal RNA
Source: RNAcentral
GAUCAGUGGCGAACGGGUGAGUAACACGUGAGCAACCUGCCCCUGACUCUGGGAUAAGCGCUGGAAACGGCGUCUAAUACUGGAUACGAGACGUGACCGCAUGGUCAACGUUUGGAAAGAUUUUUUGGUUGGGGAUGGGCUCGCGGCCUAUCAGCUUGUUGGUGAGGUAAUGGCUCACCAAGGCGUCGACGGGUAGCCGGCCUGAGAGGGUGACCGGCCACACUGGGACUGAGACACGGCCCAGACUCCUACGGGAGGCAGCAGUGGGGAAUAUUGCACAAUGGGCGGAAGCCUGAUGCAGCAACGCCGCGUGAGGGAUGACGGCCUUCGGGUUGUAAACCUCUUUUAGCAGGGAAGAAGCGAAAGUGACGGUACCUGCAGAAAAAGCACCGGCUAACUACGUGCCAGCAGCCGCGGUAAUACGUAGGGUGCAAGCGUUAUCCGGAAUUAUUGGGCGUAAAGAGCUCGUAGGCGGUUUGUCGCGUCUGCUGUGAAAUCCGGAGGCUCAACCUCCGGCCUGCAGUGGGUACGGGCAGACUAGAGUGCGGUAGGGGAGAUUGGAAUUCCUGGUGUAGCGGUGGAAUGCGCAGAUAUCAGGAGGAACACCGAUGGCGAAGGCAGAUCUCUGGGCCGUAACUGACGCUGAGGAGCGAAAGGGUGGGGAGCAAACAGGCUUAGAUACCCUGGUAGUCCACCCCGUAAACGUUGGGAACUAGUUGUGGGGUCCAUUCCACGGAUUCCGUGACGCAGCUAACGCAUUAAGUUCCCCGCCUGGGGAGUACGGCCGCAAGGCUAAAACUCAAAGGAAUUGACGGGGACCCGCACAAGCGGCGGAGCAUGCGGAUUAAUUCGAUGCAACGCGAAGAACCUUACCAAGGCUUGACAUAUACGAGAACGGGCCAGAAAUGGUCAACUCUUUGGACACUCGUAAACAGGUGGUGCAUGGUUGUCGUCAGCUCGUGUCGUGAGAUGUUGGGUUAAGUCCCGCAACGAGCGCAACCCUCGUUCUAUGUUGCCAGCACGUAAUGGUGGGAACUCAUGGGAUACUGCCGGGGUCAACUCGGAGGAAGGUGGGGAUGACGUCAAAUCAUCAUGCCCCUUAUGUCUUGGGCUUCACGCAUGCUACAAUGGCCGGUACAAAGGGCUGCAAUACCGCGAGGUGGAGCGAAUCCCAAAAAGCCGGUCCCAGUUCGGAUUGAGGUCUGCAACUCGACCUCAUGAAGUCGGAGUCGCUAGUAAUCGCAGAUCAGCAACGCUGCGGUGAAUACGUUCCCGGGUCUUGUACACACCGCCCGUCAAGUCAUGAAAGUCGGUAA